Zootermopsis nevadensis is the source of this 817-nucleotide non-coding RNA. The record is from RefSeq and is a predicted model, not a curated record. NCBI's taxonomy places the organism in Eukaryota, Metazoa, Arthropoda, Insecta, Blattodea, Termopsidae.
GGUCAGGGGCGUUGAAUGGAGGGGCGAAGGGGUUAUAUGCGGGUCGUUGUGCAGUGUCCGUGAAGACGUCAUCCUUAAACUUGUCUCUUGAAUGUUUCGUAGUUCCGUCACAAGCCAAGCUGCCAGACAUAACUCUCCACUCGCAUGCUGAAGAUCAGAAUGGAAAUCCACAACUUGAUAUCUCAUCCCAAAGCACAGCAUUAUGAAGGCGUAUGCGAGCAUGGAGGAAAAUCUCCGCAGAUGUAGACCUUUGGACGAUGGAAUUUCUACACGUAAAAGAACAGAUGGCGGCCAGAAGACGCGACUUUCGAUAAACAAUCGAUAGGAAGACAAAUCGCAGAUCUUGACUUCUGUGACUAGGUUCAAGACUGAGACAUCUCUAAAAGUUUUUGGAAAGAGAUUGACAUAAUGUUCCUUGAAUAUUGGCUCCUACUAUGGAUUUUACAAGCCAACGAGGAAAGUAAUUUUCUCCAGAAAAAUAAAUACGUUGUUACUUAUGUUCAGACCAUUACAAAAAAGAUUUUGGACAAGGGAAUUAAGCCCCAGGAUAAAUAUACUAUGAAAGAGUACUUUGUUUUGUGGAUAGGAAAUGAAGGAGGGCACAUAACAAGUUAAAUUUUUAUCUUUGCAAGCUUCUGUCCUGAUCUAGGAUUUAAGUAUGUGAUGAAUAAGAUAUUCAAUAUACUGAUCCGUUUAAUCAUUCACGGUGACCCCAUCCACCCAGCUACAUUAGGUUAAGUCGGGUGAUGCAGUUCCAGUUUUAAAUAAGUCUUACUCAAAACUGAAGUUGAAUGGGCCAAUUUUAGUUGUACGUACG